RNAcentral lists this ribosomal RNA (498 nucleotides) under uncultured bacterium. RNAcentral's name for it is "partial 16S ribosomal RNA". It matches the Rfam family "Bacterial small subunit ribosomal RNA", at positions 30 to 523 of the family's 1533-position model. The record is from RNAcentral.
AUUGAACGCUGGCGGCAUGCCUUACACAUGCAAGUCGAACGGUAACGGGCCUUCGGGUGCCGACGAGUGGCGAACGGGUGAGUAAUGCAUCGGAACGUACCUUUCAGUGGGGGAUAACGUAGCGAAAGUUACGCUAAUACCGCAUAUUCUGUGCGCAGGAAAGCAGGGGAUCGCAAGACCUUGCGCUGAUUGAGCGGCCGAUGUCAGAUUAGCUAGUUGGUGAGGUAAAGGCUCACCAAGGCGACGAUCUGUAGCGGGUCUGAGAGGAUGAUCCGCCAAACUGGAACGGAGACACGGUCCAGACUCCUACGGGAGGCAGCAGUGGGGAAUUUUGGACAAUGGGGGCAACCCUGAUCCAGCCAUGCCGCGUGAGUGAAGAAGGCCUUCGGGUUGUAAAGCUCUUUCGGCCGGGAAGAAAUCGCAUGGGUUAAUACCCUGUGCGGAUGACGGUACCGGCAUAAGAAGCACCGGCUAACUACGUGCCAGCCGCCGCCGUAA